GAUGAACGCUGGCGGCGUGCCUAAUACAUGCAAGUCGAGCGAACAGACGAGGAGCUUGCUCCUCUGAUGUUAGCGGCGGACGGGUGAGUAACACGUGUAUAACCUACCUAUAAGACUGGGAUAACUUCGGGAAACCGGAUCUAAUACCGUAUAACAUGUUGAACCGCAUGGUUCAACAGUGAAAGACGGUCUUGCUGUCACUUAUAGAUGGAUCCGCGCCGCAUUAGCUAGUUGGUAAGGUAACGGCUUACCAAGGCAACGAUGCGUAGCCGACCUGAGAGGGUGAUCGGCCACACUGGAGCUGAGACACGGUCCAGACUCCUACGGGAGGGAGCAGUAGGGAAUCUUCCGCAAUGGGCGAAAGCCUGACGGAGCAACGCCGCGUGAGUGAAGAAGGUCUUCGGAUCGUAAAACUCUGUUAUUAGGGAAGAACAAAUGUGUAAGUAACUAUGCACGUCUUGACGGUACCUAAUAAGAAAGCCACGGCUAACUACGUG
RNAcentral lists this ribosomal RNA (497 nucleotides) under uncultured bacterium. RNAcentral's name for it is "partial 16S ribosomal RNA". It matches the Rfam family "Bacterial small subunit ribosomal RNA", at positions 28 to 507 of the family's 1533-position model. The record is from RNAcentral.